This 1019-nucleotide ribosomal RNA is filed under the name uncultured bacterium. RNAcentral's name for it is "bacterial SSU rRNA". It matches the Rfam family "Bacterial small subunit ribosomal RNA", at positions 355 to 1375 of the family's 1533-position model. The record is from RNAcentral.
UGAGGAAUAUUGGUCAAUGGGCGCAAGCCUGAACCAGCCAAGUAGCGUGAGGGAAGACUGCCCUAUGGGUUGUAAACCUCUUUUGUGCGGGGAUAAAGUGUGGGACGUGUCCCAUAUUGCAGGUACCGCACGAAUAAGGACCGGCUAAUUCCGUGCCAGCAGCCGCGGUAAUACGGAAGGUCCGGGCGUUAUCCGGAUUUAUUGGGUUUAAAGGGAGCGCAGGCCGUCCUUUAAGCGUGCUGUGAAAUGCCGCGGCUCAACCGUGGCACUGCAGCGCGAACUGGAGGACUUGAGUACGCACGAGGUAGGCGGAAUUCGUGGUGUAGCGAUGAAAUGCUUAGAUAUCACGAAGAACUCCGAUUGCGAAGGCAGCUUACCGGAGCGCAACUGACGCUGAGGCUCGAAAGCGCGGGUAUCGAACAGGAUUAGAUACCCUGGUAGUCCGCGCGGUAAACGAUGGAUGCCCGCCGUUGGGUUUUAGAAUUCAGCGGCCAAGCGAAAGCGUUAAGCAUCCCACCUGGGGAGUACGCCGGCAACGGUGAAACUCAAAGGAAUUGACGGGGGCCCGCACAAGCGGAGGAACAUGUGGUUUAAUUCGAUGAUACGCGAGGAACCUUACCCGGGCUUGAAUUGCAGGAGAACGAUCCAGAGAUGGUGAGGCCCUUCGGGGCUCCUGUGAAGGUGCUGCAUGGUUGUCGUCAGCUCGUGCCGUGAGGUGUCGGCUCAAGUGCCAUAACGAGCGCAACCCCUGUCCAUAGUUGCCAUCAGGUCGUGCUGGGCACUCUGUGGAGACUGCCGCCGUAAGGUGUGAGGAAGGUGGGGAUGACGUCAAAUCAGCACGGCCCUUACGUCCGGGGCUACACACGUGUUACAAUGGGGCAUACAGCGAGUUGGAUGUGCGCAAGUACGUCCGGAUCAAUAAAGUGCCUCUCAGUUCGGACUGGGGUCUGCAACCCGACCCCACGAAGCUGGAUUCGCUAGUAAUCGCGCAUCAGCCAUGGCGCGGUGAAUACGUUCCC